UCGUAACAAGGUCUCCGUUGGUGAACCAGCGGAGGGAUCAUUACUGAGUACUACACUCUCUACCCUUUGUGAACUAUUAUACCUGUUGCUUCGGCGGCGCCCGCGAGGGUGCCCGCCGGUCUCAUCAGAAUCUCUGUUUUCGAACCCGACGAUACUUCUGAGUGUUCUUAGCGAACUGUCAAAACUUUUAACAACGGAUCUCUUGGCUCCAGCAUCGAUGAAGAACGCAGCGAAACGCGAUAUGUAAUGUGAAUUGCAGAAUUCAGUGAAUCAUCGAAUCUUUGAACGCACAUGGCGCCUUCCAGUAUCCUGGGAGGCAUGCCUGUCCGAGCGUCGUUUCAACCCUCGAGCCCCCGUGGCCCGGCGUUGGGGAUCUGCCACGGCAGGCCCCUAAAACCAGUGGCGGACCCGAAGGCCCUCUCCUUUGCGCAGUAGCAUCAGCCUCGCAUUGGGAUCCCUCGGCGUCCUGCCUCUAAACCCCCCACAAGUCCGCUCCGGCGGCACCAAGGUUGACCUCGGAUCAGGUAGGAAUACCCGCUGAACUUAAGCAUAUCAA
RNAcentral lists this ribosomal RNA (556 nucleotides) under Plectosphaerella cucumerina. RNAcentral describes it as "eukaryotic LSU rRNA". The stretch from base 183 to 336 matches the Rfam family "5.8S ribosomal RNA". Lineage: Eukaryota; Fungi; Ascomycota; Sordariomycetes; Glomerellales; Plectosphaerellaceae. The record is from RNAcentral.